Molecule: long non-coding RNA, 1955 nt
Organism: Lepidothrix coronata (blue-crowned manakin)
Lineage: Eukaryota; Metazoa; Chordata; Aves; Passeriformes; Pipridae
Source: Ensembl
UUCGUCUUCAAGAAUUGGGGUACUCAGCAAUUUAGGCGCUGGGCAAAAUAGAGUGUUCAAAGACACAAUGGCUACUAGAGUGAGGCACUGACUCAAAAGGCAUUUGAAAAAUUGGCAUUAUAAAAAGGAACAGUAAGAGCAUCAACUGUAGAUAAUGAGACAGCAUUUAGAAUUGGUGUUUUAUGUAAUUUUCUGAAAGAGAAAUGUCAAAGAUUUCUUAGUUGUUACACCUGGUAGGAAGAAGAAAGUAUACACUUUUAACUAAAAAAACCUAAUCAAUCUCAUCCUGGCAUUUUCCCCCUUAUUAGAGGUACUGAAUAUUUCUAGGAAAUCACAGGUAUACUUCAGAAUGUAUAUUCUAAAGAUGUAUAAUGUAGCAAGCUAUUCUGAAAUACUCAUUCUGCAUUAAUUGUUUUCAGAUUUCAAUAAUGGUCUGACUCGGACUACUCAAUGCCUGAUUCAGUGACAAACCACCCCAUUCAGUGAAAAAGGAUCAAGCCUCUAAAAAUAUAUUUUAAAAAUUAAAAACUACUUAUUUUUUAUUAUACCCUGAAAUGAAGAUGACUCCUUAUAGGAGUUUUAUCUUCCAUGGAUAAACUGAGUUAUGUAGUUGUAAUCCCUUCCUGGAACUGACUCAUUUAUAUCUCUCUGUUUGCUUAGGUACCAAGUCUCAUCUAAUAACUCAAGAGGCAUUAACUUUCUAAAACUACCUGUUUACUUGGUACAUGACCCCUCUGUAUUAUGAUAAACAAACAUGAAAUCAGAUGGAUUGAGGAAAGACUCACCGGUCUCUAUUGAAGUCUGCAGAGAAGAACGAUUCUGGAUACAUGAUUCCAGUAGGGGGGAAGGCGUCCUCUGGAUAAAGGAUCCUCUGCACCCAGCUGUACCCCAGGCAAGUGUAUUACAGCUAGCAACACUGAGUAAGCAGACACCAGAGGCUCCACAGGACAGAAUGGGGAAGAAGUUCCUUCUGAGAGCCCUGUUUAUGAAGAGACUGGAGAGCCAAGCACACCUGGUCUAGUCAAGCCAUUCCUUGUGAUGAAGUUGUUGCUGCUUGCUGCCAUCAGGGACACAACUGAGCAGUCCCACACCCUCUUGAGGGUGGUCUCAAAGAACCACAACCUCCAGAGGAGCCUUCAAACGGGGCUCAGAAAUCCCAAAGCCCUCUCCUCAUUGCCCUUCUCUCUCCUGCUAAACCGUACAUAGACCCAAAACAGGAUCCAACUCACUCUCCUUGGGGCACCUGGCACAUGUGCUCUUUUGCCCUUUUGUUGUUUGUGCAGUGUCUGCCAUGAGGUAUUGUCACUUGCACAACUGAAGAGUAGGCAACCCAUCCCCUCACCUUUCCCCCGAGAUACAAGAGGUAGGACAAUGCUCCAUCACUUGGGUAAACAGUGCCAGACAGAGCUGGUUAGAGCAGCCUUUCAUCCUGGCAACACUUUUAGCUCUGGGGUUUGCAUACAUGCCCCUAAAACUGAAUUUCUCUCAGAACUGUUAUGUCAGAAAUCUCCAAAGUGUUUUGAUUAGCUCGUUCUGGGAGAUUUCAGCUUCACAUGGUCUUCUUCUCUGCAGUGGACAUAUUUGGAGCCAAUUUCUGGUGCUUAGUUUCAUAAUCGCUAGCACUUCCGAGACUUCUCAGAUGGGUGGCUGACAAGAAGCUACCUGGUUACAUGAGUUUUAACACAUCUCUCAGCGAACUCUGAGACCCAAAUGCAACAUCUGCUAGAACAUGCACGGAUGUCAUGUGGAUUUAUGAUAUUUGCUUGAGGAUUCUGGAGCCAUAAACCAAUGAAUGGAUUACAAUGAGAUAAAUACAGUAUUUUCUUCUGUCAAAGGCAAUUUUGUCCUGAUACUUUUCAAUGCAUUAUUUAAUUGAAAGCAGUUUCCAUUUUGCUCAACCUAGCAAGUUGAAAGUUUAAAAGAUAAGCCACAUUUCUUUGUUUGAAUAUACUGUC